RNAcentral lists this long non-coding RNA (449 nucleotides) under Panax ginseng (ginseng). Its description in RNAcentral is "long non-coding RNA (PGIN_LNC000333)". Lineage: Eukaryota; Viridiplantae; Streptophyta; Magnoliopsida; Apiales; Araliaceae. The record is from RNAcentral.
UUCAGAAGAAAAAAAUGCAAGGAAAUUAAUUCAUUCAAUUUGUUAUCCUUCUUACAUUGUGACCCAAUACAAAUAGCAUCUAGCAAUAGAUUCUAGAAUGAACUACAACUUAGAAAAUGAGUCUAACAACUUAUAGCGUAAAAGACUAAAGUGACCCUGACUUAACCAAGCAAAAGACAUUACUAUACUAAUGCACUUAUUACUGGACUGCACUGAAUCAAUCACCAGGCCAUAUACUGCAACCUUACAGUCGAGUUAUAGAACGAGAGAUUUAGGAAUUGAAUGCUUUGAUUUUACAACACUCUCACAGUGAAAACUUAACAGAACUCUUUCUCAAUUUUUUUUCUUUUGCUUCGUUGCGUUCCAUUCGGUUUCAUCACCUAAAUUUAUACGUGGAGAGGGGGAAAAAACAAUGGACCGAGUUCCUUGCUUGUUGGCGCCACAUAUGC